This 811-nucleotide ribosomal RNA is filed under the name marine metagenome. RNAcentral's name for it is "bacterial SSU rRNA". It matches the Rfam family "Bacterial small subunit ribosomal RNA", at positions 386 to 1213 of the family's 1533-position model. The record is from RNAcentral.
ACCCAGCGACGCCGCGUGCGGGAUGAAGGCCUUCGGGUUGUAAACCGCUUUCAGCAGGGAAGAAGCGAAAGUGACGGUACCUGCAAAAGAAGCACCGGCUAACUAUGUGCCAGCAGCCGCGGUAAUACAUAGGGUGCAAGCGUUGUCCGGAAUUAUUGGGCGUAAAGAGUUCGUAGGUGGUUCGUUACGUCGGAUGUGAAAAUCUGGGGCUCAACCCCAGACCUGCAUUCGAUACGGGCGAGCUAGAGUUUGGUAGGGGAGACUGGAAUUCCUGGUGUAGCGGUGGAAUGCGCAGAUAUCAGGAGGAACACCAAUGGCGAAGGCAGGUCUCUGGGCCAAUACUGACACUGAGGAACGAAAGCGUGGGGAGCGAACAGGAUUAGAUACCCUGGUAGUCCACGCCGUAAACGGUGGGCGCUAGUUGUGGGGACCUUCCACGGUCUCUGCGACGCAGCUAACGCAUUAAGCGCCCCGCCUGGGGAGUACGAUCGCAAGAUUAAAACUCAAAGGAAUUGACGGGGCCCCGCACAAGCAGCGGAGCAUGCGGCUUAAUUCGACGCAACGCGAAGAACCUUACCAAGGCUUGACAUAUAGGGAAAAGCGGCAGAGAUGUCGUGUCCGCAAGGGCUCUAUACAGGUGGUGCAUGGUUGUCGUCAGCUCGUGUCGUGAGAUGUUGGGUUAAGUCCCGCAACGAGCGCAACCCUCGUUCUGUGUUGCCAGCAUUUAGUUGGGGACUCACAGGAGACUGCCGGGGUUAACUCGGAGGAAGGUGGGGAUGACGUCAAAUCAUCAUGCCCCUUAUGUCUUGGG